UACGGGGGGGGCAAGCGUUGUUCGGAAUUCCUGGGCGUAAAGGGCUCGUAGGCGGCCAACUAAGUCGGACGUGAAAUCCCUCGGCUUAACCGGGGAACUGCGUCCGAUACUGGAUGGCUUGAGUUCGGGAGAGGGAUGCGGAAUUCCAGGUGUAGCGGUGAAAUGCGUAGAUAUCUGGAGGAACACCGGUGGCGAAGGCGGCAUCCUGGACCGACACUGACGCUGAGGAGCGAAAGCCAGGGGAGCAAACGGG
Molecule: ribosomal RNA, 253 nt
Filed under: uncultured bacterium
Lineage: Bacteria
Description: partial 16S ribosomal RNA
Rfam family: Bacterial small subunit ribosomal RNA
Source: RNAcentral